Molecule: long non-coding RNA, 969 nt
Filed under: Helianthus annuus (common sunflower)
Lineage: Eukaryota; Viridiplantae; Streptophyta; Magnoliopsida; Asterales; Asteraceae
Description: hypothetical non coding rna
Source: RNAcentral
UAUGGUUAGAUGUCAAGGACUUAGGUUAGAUUAUCUUAGUUUAUAGAAACCUCGUUUGUGAUUCUAAUAGGCAACUUAGAACCCAUGAAAACACAUGAAAACAUAAUGUCCAAACGAGUAUCUAGACAAGAUAUAUUUGCGUUGCACAUAUACUUUUUAUAUUAAUUCUGAAUCCAAACUCUCCACGAACUCCAUAUACUCAUACACCUUCGUUUCCCCAAUGUAGGGUAACUUUGGUGCUCCACCCUCAACGACUCGUCAACCACGUUUACAUCGGAAGCUUAGCAAACUGUGAGCAUACAUGACCUUUUUUUUUAAUUUUCGACACUCUUGGGUGCAAUACUUAUGACUUAUUAAACUCACACAAUCACAUGCAAACACGCUUGACGCAAACAAACAAUCCAUUAUACAUGCUUAAUACGUGAUGCUUUAGAAAUUCAUACAUGCUAGAAUCCUUACUUGCAUUAUAUUUUGUCAUUAACUUCGUACAAGCCUCCCUUAACAUGUAUAGCGCUAUAGGAGUAACACACCGCCCGUAUUUUUGAGGUCAUGUUAAGUUAUAAUGAUAUGUCUUAGUUUACGAUUAUGCCAUGUAGAUUCGUUUAAACCGUUUUUAUACUUCUGCUAGUAAUUCAAACUUGUAUGCUCGCCAAUACUUUAUGUGUUGACAUGUACUUUAAUAUGUAUUGCAGGAACUUGAUGACAACACGUUGAAAGAAUCUAGUAGGCCGACUAGAAAUGCACUUUAAAUUUUGUUUAUGCAUUGUACUUUGUUUCCUUGUUCAAGAUGUUGUACUUUGCUUUCAAACGUUGUAUUUUCCGAGUUAGAAAUGAAAUGAAAUUUUACUUAUUAAAUACUUGUCACAACUAGUCGUUAUGAAGUCUCUUGCAAUCUCAUUUUGGUCUCACUCCGAUGUUUCCGCCAUCGGUUGGGGUGUGACAUGCGAUGGCGUGACAGGAAGUCACUGA